UACGUAGGGCGCGAGCGUUGUCCGGAAUUAUUGGGCGUAAAGAGCUCGUAGGUGGCUUGUCGCGUCUGCCGUGAAAGCCCGUGGCUUAACUACGGGUCUGCGGUGGAUACGGGCAGGCUAGAGGCUGGUAGGGGCAAGCGGAAUUCCUGGUGUAGCGGUGAAAUGCGCAGAUAUCAGGAGGAACACCGGUGGCGAAGGCGGCUUGCUGGGCCAGUUCUGACGCUGAGGAGCGAAAGCGUGGGGAGCGAAC
Molecule: ribosomal RNA, 250 nt
Filed under: uncultured bacterium
Lineage: Bacteria
Description: partial 16S ribosomal RNA
Rfam family: Bacterial small subunit ribosomal RNA
Source: RNAcentral